AGACUUUCAGGGUAAACAGGGAUUGAAUACCAAGUACCGUAGAAAUUUGCACACUGCUGGGAUUUUUUUUUUUUUUUUUCUUCUUCAGAGGUACAACCACAUCCAGACAUCGACACACGAUGCAUGGGGUCAGAAAUCAUCUCAACUAGAUGCCAACGGACAACCAGGAAAAACUCAACGUUUACCAAGACCAACGGAGAGGUAACCAAUCAUCAUCGGAUGAAGGGGAACAGAAAUCAUCUCAACUAGAUGCCAACGGACAACUAGGAAACACUCAACGUUUACCAAAACCAACGGAGAGGUAACUCAACUCUACUGGGGAUAACCAG
Molecule: long non-coding RNA, 329 nt
Filed under: Lathyrus oleraceus (garden pea)
Lineage: Eukaryota; Viridiplantae; Streptophyta; Magnoliopsida; Fabales; Fabaceae
Description: Pisum sativum (pea) long non-coding RNA (PSAT_LNC021593)
Source: RNAcentral